UAAAUAGAUUUGAUAAGUUUAAAAAGAAUUUUGAAAAAAUUUAAUUUUUGUUUGAAAAUUAAUAAUAUAAUUACAAUACUAUAUAAAAUUUUUAUUUAGAUAGAAAAUAUUUUUAAUGUUUAAAUUUAUAUAAUUAAUGAUAGUUAAAAUUAGACAAUAAUGAUAAUUAUAGGUUAAAGUUAGUGCCAGCAACUGCGGUUACACUAUUUAUAAGAGUUAAUUUGUUAAAUUUAUAGUAAUAUAAAAUAAUAGAGAUUAAUAUAAAAAAUAAGUUUUUGAUGGUGAAAUAUAAAAAAUUUUAAAUUUAUAUUUUUUAUAAUAAAUAGAAUUAAAAAAUUUAUGUAGUAAACUAGGAUUAGAUACCCUAUUAUAAUAUAAUUUAUAGAAAAAAAAUUAAAGUACUAAAUGUUAUAUCAUUAAAUUCAAAAGAUUUGGCGGCAUUUUAUUUAAAAUUAGGGGAACUUGUUUAUUAAAUUGAUGUACCACGAUAAGAUGUAUUUACUUUAAGGUUCGUGUAUUGCUGUUUAAAGAAAAAUUUCAAGGGUUUUAUAAUACAUUGAGAUUUAUAACGAUUAUUAAUAAAAUAAUUCAAGUCAAAAUAUGGCGUAGGUAAGGUUGGAUGAGUUACAAUAAAAUAAAAUUAUAUGAAUAUUAUAAUUUAAUUUAUAGUUGAAGGUGGAUUUAAAAGUAAGAUUAAUGAAUUAAUUAAUUUGAAUAAAAUUUAAAAUGUGUACAAAUUGCCCGUCACUUCCAUGAUGAGUGGAAUAAGUCGUAACAAAGUUUAGGUACCGGAAGGUGUUUAUUGAUUUAUA
Molecule: non-coding RNA, 812 nt
Filed under: Abispa ephippium (large potter wasp)
Lineage: Eukaryota; Metazoa; Arthropoda; Insecta; Hymenoptera; Vespidae
Source: RNAcentral